This 69-nucleotide transfer RNA is filed under the name Paracatonidia sp. SX-2018. RNAcentral's name for it is "tRNA-Gln". Lineage: Eukaryota; Metazoa; Arthropoda; Insecta; Hemiptera; Achilidae. The record is from RNAcentral.
UAUAAUGUGAUGUAUAAUGCAUAAAGAAUUUUGAUUUCUUAAGACUUAGAGUAAUUCUAGGCUUUAUAA